GAUGAACGCUGGCGGCGUGCUUAACACAUGCAAGUCGAACGGAAAGGCCCAAGCUUGCUUGGGUACUCGAGUGGCGAACGGGUGAGUAACACGUGGGUGAUCUGCCCUGCACUUCGGGAUAAGCCUGUGAAACUGGGUCUAAUACCGGAUAGGACCACUUCUUGGAUGUUGUGGUGGAAAGUUUUUUCGGUGUGGGAUGAGCUCGCGGCCUAUCAGCUUGUUGGUGUGGUAAUGGCCUACCAAGGCGUCGACGGGUAGCCGGCCUGAGAGGGUGUACGGCCACAUUGGGACUGAGAUACGGGCCAGAUGCCUACGGGAGGCAGCAGGGGGGAAUAUUGCACAAUGGGCGCAAGCCUGAUGCAGCGACGUCGCGGGGGGGAUGACGGCCUUCGGGCUGUAAACUCCUUUCGCUAGGGACGAAGCGUUUUGUGACGGUACCUGGAGAAGAAGCACCGGCUAACUACGUG
Molecule: ribosomal RNA, 467 nt
Filed under: uncultured bacterium
Lineage: Bacteria
Description: partial 16S ribosomal RNA
Rfam family: Bacterial small subunit ribosomal RNA
Source: RNAcentral